AUUGAACGCUGGCGGCAGGCCUAACACAUGCAAGUCGAGCGGUAGCACAGAGAGCUUGCUCUCGGGUGACGAGCGGCGGACGGGUGAGUAAUGUCUGGGAAACUGCCUGAUGGAGGGGGAUAACUACUGGAAACGGUAGCUAAUACCGCAUAACGUCGCAAGACCAAAGAGGGGGACCUUCGGGCAUCUUGCCAUCAGAUGUGCCCAGAUGGGAUUAGCUAGUAGGUGGGGUAACGGCUCACCUAGGCGACGAUCCCUAGCUGGUCUGAGAGGAUGACCAGCCACACUGGAACUGAGACACGGUCCAGACUCCUACGGGAGGCAGCAGUGGGGAAUAUUGCACAAUGGGCGCAAGCCUGAUGCAGCCAUGCCGCGUGUAUGAAGAAGGCCUUCGGGUUGUAAAGUACUAUCAGCGGGGAGGAAGGCGAUAAGGUUAAUAACCUUGUCGAUUGACGUUACCCGCAGAAGAAGCACCGGCUAACUCCGUGCCAGCAGCCGCAGUAA
RNAcentral lists this ribosomal RNA (504 nucleotides) under uncultured bacterium. RNAcentral's name for it is "partial 16S ribosomal RNA". It matches the Rfam family "Bacterial small subunit ribosomal RNA", at positions 30 to 523 of the family's 1533-position model. The record is from RNAcentral.